This 202-nucleotide unclassified non-coding RNA is filed under the name Hevea brasiliensis (rubber tree). Lineage: Eukaryota; Viridiplantae; Streptophyta; Magnoliopsida; Malpighiales; Euphorbiaceae. The record is from RNAcentral.
GCUUUGGAUCAGCAAUAUCAAUCAAUCUAUGUAAAUUUGUUCCUUCCUAAUUACUGGAGGUAUGGGAUCAAGCAGAGGCCCAAUGGUUCGGGCCAUAACUGAUAGGCUAUAUGAAGGAGGUAAUUAUUUCUUUUUUCAUUAUAAAAGUGAAUUGUUUCAAGAUAAAUAAUUGGAGAAAUUUGAAUUCGAAACCUCACUUUUU